This 328-nucleotide ribosomal RNA is filed under the name Alangularis multilobata. Its description in RNAcentral is "partial 12S ribosomal RNA". Lineage: Eukaryota; Metazoa; Arthropoda; Insecta; Mantodea; Mantidae. The record is from RNAcentral.
GAGUAUUAUUAGAUAUGAUCUUUAAACUUAAAGAAUUUGGCGGUAUUAUAGUCUAUUUAGAGGAAUCUGUUAUAUAAUCGAUAAUCCACGUUGAACCUUACUUAUAUAAAUUCUUGUAUACCGCUGUUUAAGAAUAUACUUUUAGGUAAAUUUUCAAAAUAUAAUAAUAAUUAAUAUUUCAAGUCAAGGUGCAGUUAUAUAUAAGUUGAGUAAUGGAUUACAAUAAAAUUUAUUUAUUACGGAUUUAUUGUUAUAAUAAUAAUUUGAAGGUGGAUUUAAAUGUAAUUUUAUAUAGAUUAUUAAAAUGAUUUUUAGCCCUAUAAUAUGU